RNAcentral lists this ribosomal RNA (497 nucleotides) under uncultured bacterium. Its description in RNAcentral is "partial 16S ribosomal RNA". It matches the Rfam family "Bacterial small subunit ribosomal RNA", at positions 28 to 507 of the family's 1533-position model. The record is from RNAcentral.
GAUGAACGCUGGCGGCGUGCCUAAUACAUGCAAGUCGAGCGAACAGACGAGGAGCUUGCUCCUCUGACGUUAGCGGCGGACGGGUGAGUAACACGUGGAUAACCUACUUAUAAGACUGGGAUAACUACGGGAAACCGGAGCUAAUACCGGAUAAUAUAUUGAACCGCAUGGUUCAAUAGUGAAAGACGGUUUUGCUGUCACUUAUAGCUGGAUCCGCGCUGCAUUAGCUAGUUGGUAAGGUAACGGCUUACCAAGGCGACGAUGCGUAGCCGACCUGAGAGGGUGAUCAGCCACACUGGAACUGAGACACGGUCCAGACUCCUACGGAAGGCGGCAGUAGGGAAUCUUCCGCAAGGGGCGAAAGCCUGACGGAGCAACGCCGCGUGAGUGAUGAGGGUCUUCGGAUCGUAAAACUCUGUUAUUAGGGAAGAACAAGUGUGUAAGUAACUAUGCACGUCUUGACGGUACCUGAUCAGAAAGCCACGGCUAACUACGUG